UUUCAACAUGAGAGUUUGAUUCUGGCUCAGAACGAACGCUGGCGGCAGGCUUAACACAUGCAAGUCGAACGAGAAGCUUACUUCGGUAAGUGGAAAGUGGCAGACGGGUGAGUAACGCGUGGCAACCUACCUUUUUCUACGGAACAACAGUUGGAAACGACUGCUAAUACCGUAUACGCCCUCCGGGGGAAAGAUUUAUCGGUGAAAGAUGGGGCCGCGUUAGAUUAGCUAGUUGGUGAGGUAAUGGCUCACCAAGGCGACGAUCUAUAGCUGGUCUGAGAGGAUGAUCAGCCACACUGGGACUGAGACACGG
This 313-nucleotide ribosomal RNA is filed under the name Hellea sp. RNAcentral describes it as "bacterial SSU rRNA". It matches the Rfam family "Bacterial small subunit ribosomal RNA", at positions 1 to 329 of the family's 1533-position model. The record is from RNAcentral. Lineage: Bacteria; Pseudomonadati; Pseudomonadota; Alphaproteobacteria; Maricaulales; Robiginitomaculaceae.